UACGGAGGAUGCGAGCGUUAUCCGGAUUUAUUGGGUUUAAAGAGUGCGUAGGCGGACUGUCAAGUCAGCGGUAAAAUUGAGAGGCUCAACCUCUUCCCGCCGUUGAAACUGGUGGUCUUGAGUGGAUGAGAAGUACGCGGAAUGCGUGGUGUAGCGGUGAAAUGCAUAGAUAUCACGCAGAACUCCGAUUGCGAAGGCAGCGUACCGGCAUCCAACUGACGCUGAGGCACGAAAGCGUGGGGAUCAAACAGG
RNAcentral lists this ribosomal RNA (252 nucleotides) under uncultured bacterium. RNAcentral's name for it is "partial 16S ribosomal RNA". It matches the Rfam family "Bacterial small subunit ribosomal RNA", at positions 524 to 776 of the family's 1533-position model. The record is from RNAcentral.